This 154-nucleotide ribosomal RNA is filed under the name Aggregatibacter actinomycetemcomitans. RNAcentral's name for it is "partial 16S ribosomal RNA". It matches the Rfam family "Bacterial small subunit ribosomal RNA", at positions 1380 to 1533 of the family's 1533-position model. Lineage: Bacteria; Pseudomonadati; Pseudomonadota; Gammaproteobacteria; Pasteurellales; Pasteurellaceae. The record is from RNAcentral.
UUUGUACACACCGCCCGUCACACCAUGGGAGUGGGUUGUACCAGAAGUAGAUAGCUUAACCGAGAGGGGGGCGUUUACCACGGUAUGAUUCAUGACUGGGGUGAAGUCGUAACAAGGUAACCGUAGGGGAACCUGCGGUUGGAUCACCUCCUUA